This 942-nucleotide long non-coding RNA is filed under the name Homo sapiens (human). RNAcentral describes it as "non-protein coding lnc-MRPL57-9:1". Lineage: Eukaryota; Metazoa; Chordata; Mammalia; Primates; Hominidae. The record is from RNAcentral.
AUGGUGAGAGUCUGAGUCAAUGGAUUUGGCCAUAUUGGAUACCUGGUCACCAGGGCAGCUUUCAACUCGGCAAAAUGGACACUGUCAUCAUCAAUGAUCUCUUCACUGGCCUCAACUCCAUGGUCUACAUGUUCCAGUAUAUUUCAUGACAAGUCCAAUGGCACAGUCAAGGAAAGAGAACAGGAAGCUUGUAAUCAAAGGGAAGCCCAUCUCCAUCCUCCAAGAGCAAGAUCUCGCCAACAUCAAAUGAGGCAACACUGGUGCUGAAUAUGGUGCAGAGCCCACUGGCGUCUUCAGCACUACGGAGAAGACUGGGGCUCACUUGAAGUAGCCAAAACUGUCGUCAUCUUUGCCCCUUGUGCUCUUGUGCAGAUCCAUGUUUGUGGUGGGUGUGAACCAUGAGAAGUAUGAAUUAUCUUCUCGAGAUUGUCAGCAGUGCCUCCUGCACUAUCAACGUUUGGCACCCUUGGCCAAGGUCAUCUAUGACUACAGUCCAUGCCACUACUGCCACCCAGAAGACUGUUGGAGAAACUUUGGCGUGACUGCUGCAGAACAUCAUCCCUGUAUCUACUAGUGUGGCCGAGGCUAUGGGCAAGGUCAUCCCUGAGCCAGAUAAGAGGCUCACAGGUAUGGCCUUCUGUGUUCCCACCCAUAAUAUGUUGGUUGUGGCUCUCAUCUGCCAUCUGCAGAAAGCUGCCAAAUAUGAUGGCAUGAGAAGAUGCUGAAGCAGGUAUCGGAGGGCCCCCUCAAGGGCAUUCUGAUCUACACUGAGGACCAAGUUGUCUCCUCUGACUUUAAGAGUGGCACCUGCACUCUUCUACCUUCAAUGCCACGACUGGCAUUACCUUCAAUGGCCACUUUGUCAGGCUCCUUUCCUGGGAUGAAUUUGGCAGCAGCAACAGGGUGGUGGACCUUAUGGUCCACACGGCCUCCAAGGAGUAA